RNAcentral lists this unclassified non-coding RNA (356 nucleotides) under Hevea brasiliensis (rubber tree). Lineage: Eukaryota; Viridiplantae; Streptophyta; Magnoliopsida; Malpighiales; Euphorbiaceae. The record is from RNAcentral.
AUAUUUUCGCAUACCAAGCCAUUACACAAUUCUUAGAUGUAUCCAACAGAAGCAUAAAAUCAACAUCUUGAAAACAACUCCAACUUAAUCUUCUGCAACAAAUGGAUGUACAGCAAUGUGUGCAUGGAGUUCACAAUAACUUUUAUGGUGAAAGAACUUGUUAGCAGAAUCUCAGCAGCACCGGCAUGUUAAAAAAUCUGAGCACGUGUAUGGUCGUGACUUUUCUUCAAUUUCUGAGGCUGUUGGUAAACUUUCCAGGUUGUAUGUGUUGCUUUGAGCACAGCAGAACUCGUAUAAAUUCCUGCAAACUCCUUUACUGAAUGGAUGCACCCGCUCAGGAAUUCCCCUUAAAUAUG